RNAcentral lists this small RNA (30 nucleotides) under Bombyx mori (domestic silkworm). RNAcentral's name for it is "ovarian small RNA-10494". Lineage: Eukaryota; Metazoa; Arthropoda; Insecta; Lepidoptera; Bombycidae. The record is from RNAcentral.
AAGACAACGUGCGGCCACCGCGGCCCGAGC